AGCAGCCGCGGUAAUUCCAGCUCCAAUAGCGUAUAUUAAAGUUGUUGCAGUUAAAAAGCUCGUAGUUGAAUUUCGGGAUCAAUAUAUCGGUCGUGCCUUGGUACGUACUGGUAUCAUUGGUUUCUCCUUUCUGACGAACCAUGAUGUCAUUAAUUUGGUGUCUUGGGGAAUCAGGACUGUUACUUUGAAAAAAUUAGAGUGUUUAAAGCAGGCUCGCGCUUGAAUACAUUAGCAUGGAAUAAUGAAAUAGGACGUUUGAUUCUAUUUUGUUGGUUUCUAGGAUCGACGUAAUGAUUAAUAGGGAUAGUUGGGGGCAUUAGUAUUCAAUUGUCAGAGGUGAAAUUCUUGGAUUUAUUGAAGACUAACUACUGCGAAAGCAUUUGCCAAGGAUGUUUUCAUUAAUCAAGAACGAAAGUUGGGGGCUCGAAGACGAUCAGAUACCGUCCUAGUCUUAACCAUAAACUAUGCCGACUAGGGAUCGGAUGAUGUUAAUUUUAAUGUA
This 502-nucleotide unclassified non-coding RNA is filed under the name uncultured Glomus. Its description in RNAcentral is "SSU rRNA". It matches the Rfam family "Eukaryotic small subunit ribosomal RNA", at positions 569 to 1078 of the family's 1831-position model. Lineage: Eukaryota; Fungi; Glomeromycota; Glomeromycetes; Glomerales; Glomeraceae. The record is from RNAcentral.